GAGUUUGAUCUUGGCUCAGGAUGAACGCUGGCGGCGUGCUUAACACAUGCAAGUCGAACGAAGCACUACCGACGGAACUUUUUCGGAGGGAAGAUGGUAAUGACUGAGUGGCGGACGGGUGAGUAACGCGUGGCAACCGUGCCCCAUAGAGGGGGACAACAGCUGGAAACGGCUGCUAAUACCGCAUAACAAGGAGAGAGCGCAUGUUCUUUUCUUCAAAGAUUUAUCGCUAUGGGAUGGACCCGCGUCUGAUUAGCUGGUUGGUGAGGUAACGGCUCACCAAGGCGACGAUCAGUAGCCGGCUUGAGAGAGUGGACGGCCGACAUUGGGACUGAGACACGGCCCAGACUCCUACGGAGGCAGCAGUGGGGAAUAUUGCACAAUGGGGAAACCCUGAUGCAGCGACGCCGCGUGAGUGAAGAAGUAUUUCGGUAUGUAAAGCUCUAUCAGCAGGGAAGAUAA
RNAcentral lists this ribosomal RNA (462 nucleotides) under uncultured microorganism. RNAcentral describes it as "bacterial SSU rRNA". It matches the Rfam family "Bacterial small subunit ribosomal RNA", at positions 9 to 451 of the family's 1533-position model. The record is from RNAcentral.